AAAAAAAAAGAAAAAAGAAAAAAGCAGAGUUCAUUAGAAAUAGAAAUGCACCUAGACCUAAGAGCCCUUCUAAAUUUUUGGCAUCCAAAGCUGGCUAUUUGAUGCAAAAUUCUUAAUUAUAGACCUUUACAGUGUCUAAAUCCUAUCAAGCAACCCACUCAAAAGAUAUAUUUCCAAAAGCAUUAAUUACAAUUGGACAGUUGCACAAAAUAUACGGACAAGAUGAGCAGCAAAUUAAUCAUCUUGGCCAAGAUGAGGAAGACUUACUCAUAAAACCAUCUAUAUUGCGUUGGAUUCAUCUCAUAGAGCUGGUUAAGAACAGUUCUUGUUGCCUUGUAUGUGAAAUAGUUGAGUAUUUGCUGCAGGCAGGAACAAUUAUAGCAACAUAAAAAAAUUACAAUCUUUGAACAGAGAUAGAUAUGAAUUCACAAGUUAUCCCCAUAACAAUAUUUAUCAGCAUCUUCAUCAAAAUAUAGAGCUUGGACUGCCAUAGUCCUUUAUCAAAUUUGUAAUAACACCCUGAGACAUUUGACAAGCAAAUUGAAAUAGAUUGAAUUUGAUGUAUUGUUGUAAAUACUUUAGUUGCAUCUAUCUGUUGGAAAACCUGAGAUAUAUGAAACUAAUUAAUUUUAGGAAAAAGUAAAAAUACUAGCAGCUCAUCUUUACCGUUUUCACAUCCUCAAAACUAUCUUCAUAUUGCCCUCCCAAUUCGUAGACAACCACAAGUCUCCGAUCCUUUCUCUGCUUCCUUGAACUCUUAUCACUAACAAUACCUGAAAUCGCUUUCGAUGAGAGCCUCCAAUCAUGCCAUGAUUCCACAAAAGAACUCCCCAGCUCCAAUGACCCUGGCCUCCACAGUUUCUUUCUCUUCACUGAAUUCCUUUGCCAAACCAACUCUCCACUAUUUUUGAGAUUCAUAUUACUCAUAGGCAGUGCAUCCAAACACAAACAAGGACUAGUGUGUGAGUCCACCAUAGAUGAGCCUACCAUGGAUAAAGCUCCCACCAUUUUCUUUCCAAGCUUAAAAGAGCCCCACAAAACAACCUAUACCCGGAUCAGGAUUAUGUCUAUGUCUGGCGCAGGGUGCAAUUCAAGAAACUGAAAGAUACCCAACAAAGAAUAUCGAAAAAGUUCAAAUAGGUGUCCAAGAAAAUGGAAGUUGUGCUACAGCACAUGAACAGAGAAUUGGGAGCUCAAUAGCUGGAGGCGUUUUAGAACAAAGGGUUUUUUAUGGUGUGACGACUCUUAACCAGACAAAUAUAUGAGGUUGAAAUUUCUCCAAGCGAAAAGGGUGACUCAAAAUCAAAAUUUUUAUAGCGUCAGCUUGCCGUUUUAUUGAUUUCUGGUGUGUGUGUGUGUGUGUAACCAAAAAGUUUAUUUAUGAACAGAUGUUUGGCCUAUUUUUUAUUUUAUAUUGUAUUCUUUUAAAUUUUCCUGUUAAAUCCUCCAAAAUAUUUCAUGGGUAAUCAGUUGUGCUAUUUGGGUGAUGUCAUUAUUUUCUUGCAUAUUUAAAUUUAAUUUCAUUUUGCUUUAGGCUGUAUCUAUUGUUGCCAGUGAUUCUGUUUCUUCCCUGCUUUUUGGCCUGGAAUUCCUUAGAAUUCAUUGC
Molecule: unclassified non-coding RNA, 1606 nt
Filed under: Hevea brasiliensis (rubber tree)
Lineage: Eukaryota; Viridiplantae; Streptophyta; Magnoliopsida; Malpighiales; Euphorbiaceae
Source: RNAcentral